Molecule: non-coding RNA, 2029 nt
Organism: Rhopilema esculentum
Lineage: Eukaryota; Metazoa; Cnidaria; Scyphozoa; Rhizostomeae; Rhizostomatidae
Source: RefSeq, a predicted model, not a curated record
GGUACAUAUAGUGUUUUAUUGUUAAAAACAAGCAUAGAAAAGCAAAUAAAUAUUUUUAAAUGUGAAAAUUCUGGGCUGCUCAUCUCAGAAGAAAAAACAGAAGAGAUAUCAGGAUAAAGAAGAAGGAAAAACUAAGAAGAUACAAAGAAGCAUUGUGUGUAUAUGCAUUGAACCCAUAUACAGAUCUAUGACAAAUUUUCUUAAUUGGAAAUCAGCUGAACAAUAGGCAGACAUGGAACCUAUAUAACAUGAAAUGCAGAAUCUGGACAGUAAAUUGACAUCUUAUGGACAUGAGGAAAUUAUAAGAGUUCAAUAUCCCUGCCUUCUCCCUUUGAAAGAAAAAAGUGUAAAAUAAAGGCUUUGGGAAAAGAUCCACACUUGAGUAACACAACUAUUUUUUUGUCUCUAAAUGUUUACAAAGGAAAACAAAAGAAGAAGACUCUCAUUCAGAUGCUCCAAUAUGACCACUUCAUAGACAAAUGGAUGCACGUGCACAAGAAUAGUCUAAGGACGCUGCUGUAAAGUCUCAUCAUAUUUUUAACAAAUAGAGGAAUGUAUUAGAAGAGAUUAGUGCAAGCAAAUCUGAUUCAGUAUUGGCAAAAAGUAGAUAGAAUCUGUAUUUUUAAGAUAUUGGUGUAAAAAUCUAAUCAUUAAUGUUACCAGGUCUUUGCCAAAAUUAUUUGACUGUGUUUAAUCUUCAGGAUUGUAAUUCUAAAUUUGAAUAAAUCAGAUGAAAAAAUCAAAGUUUUUCAGUGCAGCACUGCUUUGAGAAGAAGUUAUCUUAGGUCAUUUGCCCUGUUAAUGACAUUUGAUAAAACUUUUGUAAAAUAAUGCAAGUUUUAUAGAAAAAAAAAGAAAAGAAGAUGGCAGCAAACUAGUGAUCCACCGCCAAAGUUUUGUUUUAUGUUCUGUGUUCCUACAGUAAAAUUCAGGAUACAAUAAAGAUGUACACUAGAAAUUCGCCUGAUGCUGUAAUAAAAGAAAUUCCUCGUUCAUGCCAACACCCUAUAGACUGAAAUUACUGGCAGAAGAACUGGGAAAGGUCCUAAAAAAGUUGGCAUGCCAGAUCAUCGAGCAAAGGAGACAGGUUAUCUGUAGGCAAUCCAAUUCAUGACACCCACACAUGACAAAGUUGUAUCUUGAAGAGUAGGUCGUAAACAUGCUUUAACGCAUUCUUGUCUCUGAAAAGUUUGAAGGUUUAUGUCUUUUUGGGACGUUUUCAUACCAAACACGACUUAUUGUCUUUUGUGAACACAAAUCGUGAGAGAAGGGAGUGUAGGAAUGCACUCCGCUUAAGCUAAAAAUUUCAUUUGCACUUGAAAAACAAGCACAAAGAGCAAGUACAAGAAGUCUUACAUUAUGAGCAAAUUUGUAAUAGAUGAUCAUAUACAAACUUGAUAACAAGUGAGAUCAAAUGAUGCCAUGAAAGUAUAAGGAAAUUAAGUUUGUGGAAACUAAUUUUCCUGGAGUUCGCGUUUUUAGGUGAAUCCAUGAGCAUCUUUUUGCGAAAAACCAAUUAAAAGGAAAUUUGCAAAAAUGAACUGCAUCUCCUUUUGAACUCCUCAUAACAAUAAUUUCAGCUUAUAAAAUGUCCUCUUAUCUUUAACCAGUGAAUUCGCGUUUAGGUUGACUGUUUUUUCAAAAAUCUGAGGCUGGAUUGUUCUUAAUUUGUUCUUAAAUUAAUAGGUUGUAAGCAGUGCGAUUGCUAGCGUUUUCGCUCAAGGGAGGUGUUCAGGCCUUAUUUGCCAACAAAGUGAGUGAGACAGCCUUCAUUUGCCCACAGGUUUGAAUACUCACUGAAAAAGAACCCACAGACGGCUAAAAGUUCUCGCUUGUUAGAUAAAACGUUGUUCAAAAUUGCAUUUUACAGUAGCUCAGCUUGUUCUUAACUUGUUUUUAACUUUUGACCAAUUUGAGGGUCGUGUUCUUGUAAAUUGUUCUUGUAAAAAAAGAGUGUAUUACAAAAAAGAAAGUUGACUAUUACCAACCAUGACCAAUAAAAUGAAUGAAUUAUAGGUUGAAAUUUGGU